RNAcentral lists this ribosomal RNA (484 nucleotides) under uncultured bacterium. Its description in RNAcentral is "partial 16S ribosomal RNA". It matches the Rfam family "Bacterial small subunit ribosomal RNA", at positions 30 to 507 of the family's 1533-position model. The record is from RNAcentral.
AUUGAACGCUGGCGGCAGGCCUAACACAUGCAAGUCGAGCGGAUGAAGGGAGCUUGCUCCUGGAUUCAGCGGGGGACUGGUGGGUAAUGCAUAGGAAUCUGCCUGGUAGUGGGGGAUAACGUCCGGAAACGGGCGCUAAUAUCGCAUACGUCCUGAGGGAGAAAGUGGGGGAUCUUCGGACCUCACGCUCUCAGAUGAGCCUAGGUCGUAUUAGCUAGUUGGUGGGGUAAAGGCCUACCAAGUCGACGAUCCGUAACUCGUCUGAGAGGAUGAUCAGUCACACUGGAACUGAGACACGGUCCAGACUCCUACGGGAGGCAGCAGUGGGGAAUAUUGGACAAUGGGCGAAAGCCUGAUCCAGCCAUGCCGCGUGUGUGAAGAAGGUCUUCGGAUUGUAAAGCACUUUAAGUUGGGAGGAAGGGCAGUAAGUUAAUACCUUGCUGUUUUGACGUUACCAACAGAAUAAGCACCGGCUAACUUCGUG